RNAcentral lists this transfer RNA (67 nucleotides) under Picromerus griseus. RNAcentral describes it as "tRNA-Asp". The record is from RNAcentral. Lineage: Eukaryota; Metazoa; Arthropoda; Insecta; Hemiptera; Pentatomidae.
AAAGAUUUAGUUUAAUUAAAACCUUAGCUUGUCAAGUUAAAAUUAUUUUAUCAAUAAGUAAUCUUUA